GUCCACGCCGUAAACGAUGUCAACUAGCCGUUGGGAGCCUUGAGCUCUUAGUGGCGCAGCUAACGCAUUAAGUUGACCGCCUGGGGAGUACGGCCGCAAGGUUAAAACUCAAAUGAAUUGACGGGGGCCCCGCACAAGCGGUGGAGCAUGUGGUUUAAUUCGAAGCAACGCGAAGAACCUUACCAGGCCUUGACAUCCAAUGAACUUUCCAGAGAUGGAUUGGUGCCUUCGGGAACAUUGAGACAGGUGCUGCAUGGCUGUCGU
Molecule: ribosomal RNA, 264 nt
Filed under: uncultured bacterium
Lineage: Bacteria
Description: partial 16S ribosomal RNA
Rfam family: Bacterial small subunit ribosomal RNA
Source: RNAcentral